CAGGCCUAACACAUGCAAGUCGAGCGGACCAUUCCUUCGGGGAUGGUUAGCGGCGGACGGGUGAGUAACACGUAGGCAACCUGCCUGUAAGAUCGGGAUAACUACCGGAAACGGUAGCUAAGACCGGAUAGCUGGUUUCUCCGCAUGGAGGGAUCAUGAAACAUGGGGCAACCUGUGGCUUACGGAUGGGCCUGCGGCGCAUUAGCUAGUUGGUGGGGUAAUGGCCCGCCAAGGCGACGAUGCGUAGCCGACCUGAGAGGGUGAUCGGCCACACUGGGACUGAGACACGGCCCAGACUCCUACGGGAGGCAGCAGUAGGGAAUCUUCCGCAAUGGGCGCAAGCCUGACGGAGCAACGCUGCGUGAGUGAUGAAGGUUUUCGGAUCGUAAAGCUCUGUUGCCAAGGAAGAACGCCUCGGAGAGUAACUGCUCUGAGGGUAACGGUACUUGAGAAGAAAGCCCCGGCUAACUACGUGCCAGCAGCCGCGGUAAUACGUAGGGGGCAAGCGUUGUCCGGAAUUAUUGGGCGUAAAGCGCGCGCAGGCGGUCUUUUAAGUUUGGUGUUUAAGCCCGGGGCUCAACCCCGGUUCGCACUGAAAACUGGGAGACUUGAGUGCAGGAGAGGAAAGCGGAAUUCCACGUGUAGCGGUGAAAUGCGUAGAGAUGUGGAGGAACACCAGUGGCGAAGGCGGCUUUCUGGACUGUAACUGACGCUGAGGCGCGAAAGCGUGGGGAGCAAACAGGAUUAGAU
This 750-nucleotide ribosomal RNA is filed under the name uncultured bacterium. Its description in RNAcentral is "bacterial SSU rRNA". It matches the Rfam family "Bacterial small subunit ribosomal RNA", at positions 43 to 783 of the family's 1533-position model. The record is from RNAcentral.